Molecule: long non-coding RNA, 354 nt
Filed under: Capsella rubella
Lineage: Eukaryota; Viridiplantae; Streptophyta; Magnoliopsida; Brassicales; Brassicaceae
Description: long non-coding RNA (CRUB_LNC001042)
Source: RNAcentral
GAGGUUUAAAAUGUUAAAAGCAAAGACUUGUGAUGUGAUUAUAUAUAUAUACAUAAACAUAUUCACUGAUUCACACAAAGUAUAUGUAAUAAUAAAUAAUAUGACUUUGGCAUGGGGUUUUGGUGUCUUAAUACAAAGUCUGAACAGAGAGAUAUGACAUUCUUUUUUUUUUUUUAGGUUCUUAUUCUAAUCUUUUUGAUUAAUUUUCUUAUCCUCCAAUAAUUAAGCACCAAAACUUUACCUUAUCUUCCACUUUUUUUUAAUAAUAUACAAUGAGAUGAUUGCUUUCUUUAGAUCUAAUUCAGCCGUUUAAGUUCGAAUUUUCAAAAUGCGAGUCGUUAAAUAAAAGGUAAA